GGAGUUGUAGCUCAGGGGUAGAGCACUCAUCUAGCAUGUGCGGGACCCUGGGUUCAAUCCUCAGCACUACA
This 71-nucleotide transfer RNA is filed under the name Marmota monax (woodchuck). Its description in RNAcentral is "tRNA.Ala". Lineage: Eukaryota; Metazoa; Chordata; Mammalia; Rodentia; Sciuridae. The record is from RNAcentral.